CAGCAGCCGCGGGAAUACGGAGGGUGCAAGCGUUAAUCGGAAUUACUGGGCGUAAAGCGUGCGUAGGCGGUUUGUUAAGUCUGUUGUGAAAUCCCCGGGCUCAACCUGGGAAUGGCAAUGGAUACUGGCAAGCUAGAGUGUGUCAGAGGAUGGUGGAAUUCCCGGUGUAGCGGUGAAAUGCGUAGAGAUCGGAAGGAACAUCUGUGGCGAAGGCGACUAUCUGGGCCAACACUGACACUGAGACACGAAAGCGUGGGGAGCAAACAGGAUUAGAUACCCGCGUAGUCCCUGUCUCUUAUAC
RNAcentral lists this ribosomal RNA (301 nucleotides) under uncultured bacterium. RNAcentral describes it as "partial 16S ribosomal RNA". It matches the Rfam family "Bacterial small subunit ribosomal RNA", at positions 509 to 807 of the family's 1533-position model. The record is from RNAcentral.